Molecule: unclassified non-coding RNA, 244 nt
Filed under: Meyerozyma caribbica
Lineage: Eukaryota; Fungi; Ascomycota; Pichiomycetes; Serinales; Debaryomycetaceae
Description: partial internal transcribed spacer region
Rfam family: Eukaryotic small subunit ribosomal RNA (bases 1-46)
Source: RNAcentral
AAGUCGUAACAAGGUUUCCGUAGGUGAACCUGCGGAAGGAUCAUUACAGUAUUCUUUUGCCAGCGCUUAACUGCGCGGCGAAAAACCUUACACACAGUGUCUUUUUGAUACAGAACUCUUGCUUUGGUUUGGCCUAGAGAUAGGUUGGGCCAGAGGUUUAACAAAACACAAUUUAAUUAUUUUUAUUGAUAGUCAAAUUUUGAAUUAAUCUUCAAAACUUUCAACAACGGAUCUCUUGGCUCUC